GUCUUUUUAGUAUAAAAAUAUAAAUGAUUUCCAAUUAUUUGAUUUCAGCCUAAUCUGAAAAAAGACA
RNAcentral lists this transfer RNA (67 nucleotides) under Speleomantes italicus (Italian cave salamander). RNAcentral's name for it is "tRNA-Gly". The record is from RNAcentral. Lineage: Eukaryota; Metazoa; Chordata; Amphibia; Caudata; Plethodontidae.